RNAcentral lists this microRNA (19 nucleotides) under Monodelphis domestica (gray short-tailed opossum). Its description in RNAcentral is "mdo-miR-12324b-5p". Lineage: Eukaryota; Metazoa; Chordata; Mammalia; Didelphimorphia; Didelphidae. The record is from miRBase by way of RNAcentral.
AAAGCGCCAGGCCUGGAGU